This is a long non-coding RNA of Podarcis muralis (Common wall lizard), 1468 nucleotides long. RefSeq lists it as uncharacterized. NCBI's taxonomy places the organism in Eukaryota, Metazoa, Chordata, Lepidosauria, Squamata, Lacertidae. The record is from RefSeq and is a predicted model, not a curated record.
CCAGUCCCUCCCCGCCCACCCUAACCCUUCACCGCACUCCGCGUCUCUGCUAGGACUGGAAACUGGCAGGGUAGCAGCGGAGGAGGGUGGGCGUUUGCGUGUGUGCGCGCGUGUGUAUGUGCGCGAGCGCGUGUUGUUUUUAAAACCCUUGGACCGGACUGGAUCGGUACUCAAACAUCAUAGCGAGCGCAAUGCACCUUAUCGGAGACAAAGGAAAAAGCCUCUCCAGAAGCUUUUCCGGCCCUGGCUGCGGAUGGAAAGUUGACGAGAGACAACAAAGCCUCCCUUGGCUGCCGAUCCAUUGAUUUGUAACGUUCUAGAACGCGCUGGGAGUUCUGCGCUCUGAUGGAGUAACCAGGCGUUCUACCGGAUCUGCAAUGGCAAAAGAAUUCGAGACGUGGAAGGAAGGGUGGACGAGGGAGACAAAGCAUGCCUCCAGUGUUUAAAACGGCCUCCCCUUCUUGAACUUUAAAUCUCAACCGACAUAAAUACACCCAGCAUUUUGUCCACACACGCUACAGGGACGUUUAUUCUGGUUCCGUUUUCUUUCAUGCAGCAAUUGGGACUGACUGACUGCACACUUAUGGCCCCCCUGGACUCAGUUGCGCACUUACAGCUGAGCAAAUGUGUGUACAAAUUGCAUUAUUUGGAUGUUCAGUGCGGUUCACUUUCUUCCGCUGGAGAUAGGCUGGAAGUGGUGGGGAAAUUUGCCGCUGUCUGUAGUGUGGGAUCCAAACUCAAUUCACUUGAAUUUUGUUGCUUCCCUCCGUAACCCAAAGGCCGGCUUUAAUAACUGGCGAAUUCAUCCAAUUAUUUAUGGCCAUUUACGUGGGAUUAGGGUUUAAGCGCCUUCUAUUGGAAAGCGACUUUCCGGGCGGCCUGACAGGUUCAGACUCACUUGAGAUUUGCCUCCAAGUCAGCUAUGUCACUGGGGCCGGUUUGAAUAUCUAAGAUGUGGGUUUCUCGCCUUGAAGGACCGCAUAGCGACUCCGCAAGCUUGAUUUCCACCCAAUUCCAAAAUGGCCGCUUCCUCGUAAAUAAUCAGGAUCGACAAACUCUAGGACAGUGUUAUGUUUGAUGGUAUUAAUUAGAUUCGUCAUUCAUGAUGAAUUGUGGAUGUUAAUAUAUUGAUUAAAUACAUUAUAAAGCAUACUGCGUUGCAAUGUGCACGUAUAUAUAGAUAUAUUCAGGAGAAUGUGCGCAGCAAAUAUUCGGAUUUCCCUCCUCCAGAAUCAAUUGUCUUCAGACAUUUUUAUCCAAUUUUGGAAUAAAUAUCGGAUAAUACUUUUUUUCUAGUUGAAAGGGUUUAUGGUUUAAGAUGCUCAAAAUGACUCUCCCUCCGCUAGGGCUCAAUUGAACUUAGGCUUUGCCCUUCGUUGCAAAGGUAUUGCUACUUUACCAAUAAUGUCUGCAAAUAUUUGACUUGUAUAUUUACAUUUAAAAUAAAAUAAAAUCACCAUCCCUUCUA